RNAcentral lists this ribosomal RNA (206 nucleotides) under uncultured bacterium. Its description in RNAcentral is "partial 16S ribosomal RNA". It matches the Rfam family "Bacterial small subunit ribosomal RNA", at positions 565 to 770 of the family's 1533-position model. The record is from RNAcentral.
GGGAGCGUAGACGGAAAGGCAAGUCAGAAGUGAAAGCCCAAGGCUCAACCAUGGGACUGCUUUUGAAACUGUCAAACUAGAGUACGGGAGAGGAGAGUGGAAUUCCUAGUGUAGCGGUGAAAUGCGUAGAUAUUAGGAGGAACACCAGUUGCGAAGGCGGCUCUCUGGACUGUAACUGACACUGAGGCACGAAAGCGUGGGGAGCA